Molecule: transfer RNA, 72 nt
Filed under: Neotoma lepida (desert woodrat)
Lineage: Eukaryota; Metazoa; Chordata; Mammalia; Rodentia; Cricetidae
Rfam family: tRNA
About the family: Transfer RNA (tRNA) molecules are approximately 80 nucleotides in length. Their secondary structure includes four short double-helical elements and three loops (D, anti-codon, and T loops).
Source: Rfam by way of RNAcentral
GGAGAUAUAGCUUAGCGGUAGAGCACUUAUCUAUCAAGUGUGAGGUCCAAGGUUCAAUCCAUUGUACAUGCA